This 252-nucleotide ribosomal RNA is filed under the name uncultured bacterium. Its description in RNAcentral is "partial 16S ribosomal RNA". It matches the Rfam family "Bacterial small subunit ribosomal RNA", at positions 524 to 776 of the family's 1533-position model. The record is from RNAcentral.
UACGUAGGGGGCAAGCGUUGUCCGGAUUUAUUGGGCGUAAAGAGCGUGUAGGCGGCCAAGCAGGUCAGCUGUGAAAACUCGAGGCUCAACCUCGAGACGUCGGUUGAAACCGCUUGGCUAGAGUCCGGAAGAGGAGAGUGGAAUUCCCGGUGUAGCGGUGAAAUGCGCAGAUAUCGGGAAGAACACCCGUGGCGAGGCGGCUCUCUGGGACGGUACUGACGCUGAGACGCGAAAGCGUGGGGAGCGAACGAG